RNAcentral lists this transfer RNA (88 nucleotides) under Methylobacterium gregans. RNAcentral describes it as "tRNA-Ser". The record is from RNAcentral. Lineage: Bacteria; Pseudomonadati; Pseudomonadota; Alphaproteobacteria; Hyphomicrobiales; Methylobacteriaceae.
GCCGCCCUGAUCGCCGGCUACGAGGCGGUGCGGCCGCUGGAGGCCGCCGAGGUCGCGGCCCUGCCGAUCCUCGCCCGCGGGGCGGCUC